This 15965-nucleotide long non-coding RNA is filed under the name Sorghum bicolor (sorghum). RNAcentral's name for it is "long non-coding RNA (SBIC_LNC004466)". Lineage: Eukaryota; Viridiplantae; Streptophyta; Magnoliopsida; Poales; Poaceae. The record is from RNAcentral.
CUUCUGUGGUAUUUCUGGAUCCUUACCAAGGCAGUAAUGGUGUAUGCCUUCUCUCAAAGUAUGUGGUAUUUUUGGUAUGAGGCAUAGUGGCAUUGCCUUCUCUCUCACCCUUCUCUAAUAAGGUUUUGAUAUCUGGAAAUCAUAGAUGGGAGACAACUAAUACAUACUUACAAGACAUUUAUUGCAUAGUCAAACCAUAGAUCCAGAAGAACAAGUCAAUAAGUCAAAUCAAGAUGUGCAUGUGUGGCGAAUGAAUGGUGUAUGGUGAAGAUGGUGAUAACAAUGGUGAAAGUCUAAUUCUACUUGUGCUCUUUUGAGGGAUACAUACCUUGCUUGCUCUUUUGAAACUUUUUGAGGAGAAUGAGAUACUCUAUAUUUUCUUUUUCUUUUCUCUCGGGUGGGUAUCUUGUACCCCUAAUUCUACUGUCGGACACUUGUCCAUUUUUACCUCUCAUUGUUGACAUUCGUUAAGUGCAAUAAGAAUAAGAAAAAUUCCGCAAGCGCACAAAACAUCAUCGUAGCCACUUAAGCGUUAGUUGUCCAAGCUUUUUAGAUUUUUCUUAAAUCUUUUUCUAAGCAGAGUUUCAACAAGAUCUCUUUCUUAAUAUAUAUAUUUUUUUGGGUUUUAAUCUUUUUAUGAAGCAAAAGGAAAUGGAACAGGUGAAUGCAUGUUUAUUUACUUUUAUUUAUUUAUUUUUUUAUUCCACCACGAUGAAUAUCCGUGUAGGCUUUUACACACCACACAAUUUAUUCACAUGGGGUUUUAGUAUUUAAGAUGCAAUGAGUUAUAUAAAAUAUUUUUAUUAUAUUUUCUAAUGCAAUAAUAAUGCAGAAAGAUAAAUAUGUUAUGGAGAAAUGAUGAUGAAAAAUAAAUAUGCUAAAAACAAAUGCAGAAAAGAUAAAUACAAUAAACCUACUAAAGCUAGUGAUAUAUUAAAUUAGCAGACAUCAAGAUCAUUAUAAAAAUCUUCACACCAAUUGCUUCCCCGGCAACGGCGCCAAAAAUGCUUGUUGACAUUCGUCAAGUGCAAUAAGAAUAAGAAAAAUUCCGCAAGCGCACAAAACAUCAUCGUAGCAUUUUACCGGGAGUAUUCGAGGUAUCGUUAUUUAUAUUUUACCACUGGGAAGCUAAGGUCAAAGAAUCUGAUAACUUACUAUCAUGCAUCUACUAAUUUAAUAAACCAACUAGACUAAAGUAGGGGUAAAUGAUAUAUGAUAGGUAAUAAUAUAAAGGUGAGAAUUCUAUGAUAAAUGCGUAGAUAGCCAUAGCGGGAGGACAACGGGAGAGACCUAGGUUCCUCUAUACUUCUCUAUUACUUCAGUUCUAUGAUAACAAAGAAUGAAUAGAUAUUGCAAUCACAUAUUAGCACUUUGGGACAUCAGAACACCAACCACAGAAAGAGAACUAAAAGGGGGUUGGGAAGCUCUGACUACGGUCCUACAAACACCGAUCCGAACGAGGUGGAAUACGUCGACCGUUAGGGCUGUCACUACCCUAGGGCUACCACAACAAUCCGCAGGAAUGGGUGCAACCUCAGGUAACCUCUAGUAUAGACACCACGUCUACUCUAACGAUUACUACUCUAAUUACCACGAAUAACUAGAGCACUCGAUGCGAACGGAGAUCCUAUGCCAAAAUAUAACAACUACACUACUCGAUAAUUGUGGGGGUAUAAACCCCUAUACCCUUACGGCCAGAUUUGGGCCAGGAGGCUUGGCCCAUUACGAGAAAAGCUCAAGGUUUGAUCCGACAGCUUGGAGUUUCGCGCAAGGAAACAAGACGUGGAGAUCAAGCAGGAUUCUAGUCGGUUAGAAUAGGAAUUGAUAUCGAACUAUCUAUGGCAAUUGUAACCGACUAGGAUUAGUUUCCAGAUCUGUAACCCUGCCCUCUGGACUAUAUAAGGAGAGGCAAGGGACCCCCUAGGAUAUCAUAUUCUCUCAACACAAAUCAAUACAAUCAGACGCAGGACGUAGGUAUUACGCCAACUCGGCGGCCGAACCUGGAUAAAAAGCUUGUCUGUGUCUUGCGUCACCAUCGAGUUCGUAGUUUGCGCACCAUCUACCGAUAAACUACUACCGUGGGUAUACCCCAAGGUAGACUGCUGACCAGCUUUCGUCGACAGUGGCGCGCCAGGUAGGGGGUGUGCGUGCAACUUCUCCGGCGAACAAGAUGGUCACAAUCCCAGCUUCCGCGGCCGUGCCAGAAGGCCUCACGUUCACCGUCGGCCAGAUCACGUGGAUGACGCGCGGCGGUGGUCUCACGACCACGGUUUCGGAAGGAACCCAGAUCCAAUCUGGGAUCACGUCGGCUCCGACCACUCGGGUGACGGCACCGAGCGCCCGACCACCGCUCCCGCUCUACAAGGGAAAGAAGAUCGACUGCUCGGACCUUCUCCAAACACUUGACCGCGCCGAUUCCAAGCUACUUGAAGCUUCCCAACUAGUAGAUGGAAUCUUGCGCCAACCUGAUCAAGCUGCCCCAACGGAUUUUUUCAAAUCACAUCGGCCAACUCGUUUCGUUACACACGAACGGCUGGGAACGUCUCUCACGAUAACCUCAACUCCCUCGAGGCGAUCCGUCAAGAUCAAAGCUAACCCGGAGGAAGAUUAUCCUUGCGGUCUGAACAACUCGGCCUCUCUCUACUCGAGACACGUCCGAUCCCUCUUUAGCAAUGCUGGUUGGUCGCCAAAGGGGAGCGGUCGACCAGCUCGUCACUACGUCAACAUGGUGACGAUCCAAGAACUACGGGACGGCCAGGCUUCCAGCACAAAUUCGAGCAUUGGUUCCGUCCCCACUGAAGUCAUAAAUUCCGAGGACGAGGACUACGACUUGGAUUUGCCGUCACAUCCUCCGGGCUUCCCUCGUUUCCCGGUCUUCCCACCCCGGCGAGGAGACAUCGUUUUCAACGUCAGCGCCGACGAGCCGGUCGUCGACGGAGAAACAGACGAGCAGAGGCAGCUCCGCGAGCAGCGUAAUGCCGAUCGCGCCCGACGACGUGCGGACGAGGAACGUCAAAUCCCGCCGCAUAAUCUCAGCGACGCUUUUGACAUGGUCGGAGAUCAGCAAGUUUAUAAAACACCGAGCGCCAAUGUGGCCGUCGCCAUGGCCAAUCUAGAUCGGCUCCCUGAUACUCCCGAGUGCCAGGGGGUCCGAACCAGUGUACGGGCACACUUGAUCGCCGCGAUGGGACAGACAGCCACUCUGCUCAAAAGAGUCCAGGCCAUCUCCUAUACAGAAGCCACCUCUGACCAGACUCACCGUAGCCGGACCUCACCGCAGCCCAGCAGGCACCACCGCAGCCGUUCCCCCGACAACCAUCGAAAAGAUUCACGGCGUGACGACGACGGUCGGGAUGCUGGCAGUCACCGCGAGCAGAAUCGCGGGCGUGGUCAAGAAGUAAACCAGCACAGGGAUCUUCGGUAUAACAUCCCUCCUAAAGACGCUCGGGACCGCAUCAACAGGCGCGCCACGGAGAGAGCAGUCCACGAAAACCUGCGCCGUAUAGAGUAUGAUGCAACGCACGGCCCCCCGGGCCUGAGACAGUUCUCCUCACACCUCCGCCAGGUCGUGUGGCCCCGCAAUUUCAAGCUCGAGAAACUCAAAAAAUACGACGGCAAGGAAAAUCUAGAGAACUGAAUCACUCUCUACGAAAUCGCCGUCCGAUCAGCAGCAGGAGACGAGCACGUCAUGGCCAACUACUUCCCAGUAGUCCUCGACCAGGCUAGUCAUCAGUGGCUCCUUAGCCUACCCGAGGACUCCUUCGAUUCUUGGGAAGAGCUACGCCAGGCUUUCAUCGACAACUUCAUCGCUACAUGCGAGCAGCCUGGAAACAAGUACGACCUCGAAAGGAUAAGGGACAGUAAAAAUGAACCUCUGCGCGAUUACAUCCGACGAUUCUCGGAUAUGCGCCUUAAGAUCCCGAAGAUUUCCCACGACGAGGCCAUCUCUGCCAUCAUCAAAGUCCUACGUUUCCACGUGGCACUGAGGAACAAGCUGUUGCGCAAAAGGCCAACAACGAUGGCCGAGCUCCUUGCCACGGCUAAAAAUUACGCCGAUGCCUACGACGCAGAAAAACUAAUCCGGGACGAUGCGAGAGGUCCCGACGAGCCUCCUCGGCGAGAUGACAGUCGUGGUCGUUUCAACAACAGGAACCACCGUCGCCCCGACAACCGUGAUCAAAGAGAAGGCUGGGACAGGCGGCGCGACAAUCGCGACGAUUUCAGAGGAAAGCGCCCCCGUGACCACGACCACGAAGUGAAUACGGUCAAGCGUCCCAACGGGCGGCGGGACUACCAAGAAGACUACAACAAAACGUUGAAGGGACCGUGUCAGCUGCACCCAAAGUCCAAUCAUACCAUGGAAGAGUGCUGUGUCCUCAAAAACAUCUAUACGCGGCGGGCCGCCCAAGACGACUCUUCCAAGAAAAAUGGAAAACGAGACGGGCACGACCACGAAGACGAGGACGAGGACCAAGAUAGGGACCCACAACACCAAUAUGUCAGUCCCACCGACGUGGUCCACUCCAUCUUCAGGGGCAAGGUCUCCAUCGAAUCUAAGCGAGAAAGAAAGCUAUUAAAAAGAGCCUGCCUCAACAUAGACAGCACGGACGGCCUGAUCGCAGACCCGAAAUUUCCCCCGUGGUCGCACAAGGAGAUCUCCUUCAGCAGGAAGGAUCAGUGGGCCGCUAUCCCAGAGCCAGGUCGUUUCCCUCUAAUCUUGGACCCUUGCAUCAACAGCAUCAGAUUCGAGCGCGUGCUCGUGGAUGGAGGAAGCUCCAUUGACAUCCUCUUCCGCAACAGCCUGCCCGCUCUCAAGAUAUCUCCGGCACAACUAAAACCCUACGAUGCUCAAUUCUGGGGAGUCUUGCCAGGUCAGAGUUCAGUGCCCCUCGGACAGAUAACAUUGCCUGUCCAAUUCGGCACGCCCGACCACUUUCGGACAGAGUUCGUCAACUUCGUGGUCGCCGACUUCGAUGGGACCUACCACGCCAUACUAGGCCGACCAUCGCUGACAAAAUUCAUGGCGGUCCCGCAUUACUCAUACCUGGUCCUCAAAAUGCCUACGAAGAAGGGCGUCUUGACCGUCAGAGGCAAUGUCUACACUGCAUAUACUUGCGAGGAAGAGAGCUUCAAGAUCACCGAAGCAAUUGAUCUCUCAAUCCGGAUGGCAGAAACAGCAACCCAAGCCGCACAGCUACCUCCAGAUCAGCUCCAACUACCUGAGCAGGAGACUGCCAGGAAGAAUUCAAAAUCCAAGGAGCAUAAAGAAGUACAAUUGGUCGACGGCAGCCCCGAGAAGACGGCCCUCAUCGGGGCCAAUCUGGACCCUAAAUAGGAAGACGCGCUCGUCAGGUUUCUAAGGGACAACGUGAGCGUUUUCGCAUGGAAACCCGCAGACAUGCCAGGCGUCGCACGAAACCUGAUCGAGCACUCCUUAAACGUCUCGAAAACCGCAAGACCAAUCAAGCAAAAGCUGCGACGGUUCGCUCGUGACAAAAAGGAGGCUAUUAGGACAGAAAUAACAUGGCUUCUAGCAGCUGGAUUCAUAAAAGAAGUGUAUCACCCCGAUUGGCUUGCCAAUCUGGUUCUUGUACGCAAAAAGAAUAAUGAAUGGAGAAUGUGCGUUGAUUACACCGAUCUCAAUAAACACUGUCCUAAAGAUCCUUUUGGUCUCCCUCGCAUCGACGAGGUGGUCGACUCAACGGCCAGAUGCGAACUCCUCUCUUUUCUCGACUGCUACUCUGGUUAUCACCAGAUCUCGCUAAAAGAAGAUGAUCAGAUAAAAACAUCUUUCAUUACUCCUUUCGGUGCAUAUUGCUACACGACGAUGUCAUUCGGACUCAAAAAUGCCGGAGCCACCUAUCAACGGGCCAUCCAACAGUGCCUCCAUGACGAGAUUCGUGAUGACCUCGUCGAGGCCUAUGUAGACGACGUAGUCGUCAAAACAAGGGAUGCAAGCACCCUAAUCGACAACUUAGACCGAACCUUUAAGGCGCUAAACAGGUGCAAGUGGAAGCUUAACCCCAAAAAGUGCAUCUUCGGCGUCCCGUCCGGUCUACUACUCGGCAACGUCGUCAGCCGCGACGGCAUACGGCCGAAUCCUUCAAAAGUAAAAGCAGUACUCGACAUGCGACCACCCAAAAAUGUCAAGGAUAUUCAGAUGCUCACCGGAUGUAUGGCCGCACUCAGCCGCUUCAUCUCAAGACUAGGAGAAAAAGGCCUCCCUUUCUUCAAACUCUUGAAGGCGUCGGAAAAGUUCUCCUGGACAGAGGAAGCCGACGCUGCGUUUACCCAGCUUAAGACUUUCCUCACUUCCCCGCCUGUUCUCACAGCGCCUCAGCCCAAUGAAGACCUACUCCUUUACAUUGCUACAACCGACAGGGUUGUUUCCACGGCAAUAGUGGUCGAGCGAGACGAGCCAGGUCAUGUCUACAAGGUCCAGCGACCCGUUUACUUCAUAAGCGAAGUCCUAAACGAGUCCAAGGCCAGAUACCCACAAAUACAGAAGCUCAUAUACGCCAUUCUAAUAACGUCGAGAAAGCUAAAGCACUACUUCGACGGCCAUCGAGUCUUGGUAACCACCAGUUUCCCUCUUGGGGACAUUCUGCGCAAUAAAGACGCCAACGGCAGAAUUGUAAAAUGGGCAAUGGAAUUAUGCCCAUUCUCCCUAGAGUUCCAGAGCCGCACCACAGUCAAGUCUCAGGCCCUGGUCGAUUUCAUUGCAGAAUGGACGGAUCUCAAUGAGCCUCCCGUUCCCGACGUCUCCGACCACUGGUCAAUGUUCUUCGACGGGUCCUUGAACAUCAACGGCGCCGGCGCGGGGAUUCUCUUCGUAUCGCCCAACAAGGACAAACUGCGUUACGUCCUUAGGAUCCUUUUUCCGGCAUCCAACAAUGUCGCCAAAUACGAAGCAUGCCUUCACGGCAUACGAUUAGCCGUUGAGUUGGGAGUCAAACGCCUUUAUGUCUAUGGCGACUCCGCUUUAGUUAUCUAUCAGCUCAACAAGGAAUGGGACGCAACCCACGAGAAGGUGGAUCUCUACUGCAAAGAAAUUCGCAAAUGGGAAACCAACUUCUAUGGCAUAGAGUACAUCCACGUGGUCCGAGAUAAGAACCAGACAGCAGAUGCGUUGUCAAAGUUAGGGUCAUCUCGGGCCCAGAUACCGCGAGGUGUUUUCGUCCAGGACAUCCAUGAGCCAAGUGUGGGCAAUGACCCGCCCGAAAAGCAGCCUAUUGAGGCAAUGCUCAUAGACGACGUUACUCCGACAACCAGUAACCGCGAUUGGCGCACCCCAUUCAUCAGAUAUAUAUCAGACGGGUCAGGCUUUCAGGAUAAAACAGAAAACGAGCGCCUCAUUCGACGAUCAAAGAAUUACAUACUGGUGGACGGCAAACUUAUGCGAAAAAAUGCAAGUUCUGAAGUGCUGCUCAAGUGCAUAUCCCAAGAUGAUGGCAUCAAGCUCCUAGACGACAUACACGCCGGAUCCUGCGGCAACCACGCUGCCUCCAGAAUGCUGGUCGGGAAAGCUUUCCGAGCAAGUUUCUAUUGGCCAACCGCGGUCAACGACGCAGAAAAACUGGUCUGACACUGUGAGGGAUGCCAGUUCUUCGCUAAAAGGACCCACAUACCUGCUCAUGAGAUUCAAACUAUCCCGUCGUCCUGGCCUUUCAUCUGCUGGGGGCUCGACAUGAUCGGGCCAUUCAAACCGGCCCCUGGUAAUUUCAAGUUCGUCUUCGUAUUAAUCGACAAGUUCUCAAAGUGGAUUGAAUAUAUGCCACUGGUCAAAGCAACCUCCGAGAAGGCCGUGGAGUUCCUCAAUCAAAUCAUACACAGAUUCGGGAUCCCAAACAGUAUAAUCACCGACCUGGGUACUCAGUUCACUGGCACCACAUUUUGGGACUUCUGCGAUGACAGAGGCAUAGUCAUAAAAUACGUGUCAGUAGCUCACCCACCGGAAAAUGGCCAAGUAGAACGUGCAAACGGAAUGAUCAUCGACGCCCUAAAGAAAAGGUUGUACACCGAGAAUGACAGAGCACCUGGUCGAUGGAUGAAAGAGUUGCCGGCCGCGGUCUGGGGUCUCCGAACACAGGCUAGUCAGAACACCGGGGUGUCACCCUACUUCAUGGUUUACGGCACCGAAGCAGUGCUGCCAUCUGAUAUAACCUUCGGAUCUCCAAGGAUUGAAAACUUCGACCAGUCAACGGCCGACAACACCAGGGAACUCAAAAUCAACUGCAUGGAAGAAAAGCGCCUAAAUUCGUGCCUUCGAACAGCAAAGUAUCUUGCGGCAAUCAAACGAUACCACAACAGGAACGUUAAAGACCGUUCCUUCGUGGUCGGCGAUCUGGUACUCAGGUGGAAAACAAGCCAGGAAGGAAUGCAUAAGCUAUCCACUCCUUGGGAAGGACCCUUUGUGGUCGCCGAAGUCACACGACUCGCAUCCUACAGAUUGGCAUAUCCAGACGGAACACGCGUGCCUAACUCUUGGCACAUAGACAAGCUAUGCCGAUUUUAUCCAUAAGUUCUAGUAACUUUUGCUUGUAAGUCUCUUAUAGUUGGCAAUAAUAAAAGUUUUCUCUUUUUGGCUAUACUUUGUUUACACGCAGAGCUUUCGGCGAAGAGCACCAUUGUCCUCUGCGACGGAAACUAUUAACGACCAUGAAAUCAAACACAGUGACACGUCACUCAGAUAACUUCACAGCGCUCAAAAUAACAGUCAUGACAAAAGCAAACUUUAUUAAAAACUUUACAUACAAAGUUUACAAUAAAUACCCUGACGGGCGGUCACUAGUCUACUCCUACACACUACUCUACUGGCCUACUGCUCGGGCUGAUCACCCGCUUGGCCUUGCUGCCCGGACGAAGGGGUCGGGGCCACCGGCGCUUGGCUGGUCGAGACCGCAGGCGUCGACCGCCCAUCUCCCGCAAUAGACGCACCAGACAGCUCCCUGGCCGACCUGUCUGAGCCCGGCUGGUCGGGGGGAGUGGCCAUUCUGCAUAGAUUGAUGUCGCCGAUCACCGUCGACGACAAGUCCAGCAGACCACCCCGAAUCUCGUCCGCUUCCUGCGGGCCGACCUCUUUGGGAUACCCCUUCUCCAGCCUGGUCAAGUCGACCAGGGGGUAGUGGGCGCGCACCAUGCUAAGGAUAUGCGCGCCAGCAAACUCCCCGGCGUCCUUCACGAACUGCUAGAGCCAGUCCCACGCUCGUUGCGCCUUUUCAACUGGCGUCAAUUUCGGCGCGCGGGGCUGGCUCUCCGGGAGCUCGGGACUGAUCAAGUCCAGGACCGGGGCCACUCCUUUCCAAAUCCUGCAACAGUUCACCUUCCAGGAGUCCCGAUCCUUGACCAGCUCGUCCAAGUGCUUCUUGGCGUUCACCUUGAGCACUGAAAAUCAAGGAAGAUGUUAGUCUCAACGUAUCAAAAAGAGCGAGAAGUGGCAAAUAAUGGGGGCGGCGCGUAAUACCAGACAACUCCCGGUCCCUCCGGCCCAGCUCCUCCCCUGCUCGGCGCCCGGCCUCCAGCGCCCUGGCAAGCUCUUGGCUGAGCUGCUCUUUCUCUUGCCGAAGGCGCGCGACCUCCUCCUCUAAGCCUACAUGAAUAAUCCCCAGGUCAGCAAAGUCAACCAACGCGGUUACAUACAGCCGCCUAGAAGUACGAGACUGACCUUCUCGCUGCCGAUACUGGUCGGCUAAGCAUCGAGUAAGCUCGAGACGGUGCUCUUCCUGAGCGUUCAUCUCGGCCACCUUCUCUCCGACCUCCGACCGCAGCCGGUCCACCUCUGCGGACAGGGCCUUGUUCUCGGCCACAAUACCUUCUAUUUGGUCGAAGCACCUCUUUCGGUACUUCGCCGUUUUCAUUGCGCCCUGCAAAGAAGAACAUGCGUCGACCCAUCAAGAUAACACAAAAAGUGCCAAGCAGCGCAAAGGAUCACUUACCUUGACUUCAUCCAUGAGACGCUUGGCCGCACGCUCCACCCUGUCGGCCUCCUCCGUCUCCGUGAGCUCCUCAUGCCCGAUGAAGUGGUCCCCGCGUUGGCGCCACACGUAUACGUGCUGGCGACCAUCACGGGGGCGACCUUCAAUUUCCUCCACCUCAUCGUCGGAGGCCGUCUGGGUUCCCUCGUUCGCUGCACCGCCACCAUUCGUGGUCGCAGGCAUCACCGGCCCCUGGACCAGGCCCGGGGAGCCCGCAGACGAAGAGGCCCCUGCUCGGGGUGGCGAUGGGACCCCCUCUCUUCGCCGGGGGGAGGGGUCGGGGCUCUGUCUUCCCCCUCCGCGACGCUACUCGGGGGAGCGGUCCUUGCUGCCUCCCCAUCCCUCGGCGGAGUGCUCGCCGCGGCACUCGCCGGGGCAGACUCUCCCUCGGCGCCUGUAGCAGCAGCCGUCGCCGCAGGCUGGUCUGUGGUCUGCGGCGCCGCGUCCUUUGCAGCACAAGCAGGCUCGGCCACCCCCUGGCCGGCGGCGUGGUCGGGGUUGACGUCCGACGCCGCGCUAAAGAACAAAGCAGCAUUUUCAGCAAAAAAAAAUCGCCAAAGAACGUAAGUCGAACACUUACAGGUCUGAUCGGCGAUGGGCCGCAGUGAACCUCCUCCUAGCCCUACCGGUCGGCACCUGCGCCCCCGUUUCCGUAACGCGUGGCGCCGGAGGGUCGCUGGCCACCCGAUCAGUAGUGGCCGGUGCACUGUCCGGAUGGCUACGAGGCCUUCGGACCAGCGACGGCGCGGCCUCCUCCUCCUCCUCGUCGUCGUCGGUGAUCCGGACGAGCCGACGACGCUUUGGCGCCUGGCUGCUCUCUGCUGGCAGCGUCGGUGUAGGCGAAGGAUCCGCCGCCAUUGGCCUUUUCCCCGCCACUCUCUCCUCGGUGGUCGGGACGGGCCGGACCUGUUCCUCCUCACUGCUGGUGUAACGAGUACAUCGAGCAGCGUCUUCCUCCGGCGGAUCUUCUCCCGCAGGAUUCUCCAUUCCAGGUGCCAGUGACACGUACACCGUGCACCGGUCAACAUCUCCGAUCUGCAAAAGUAACAAAGAUAAGUCAGCAGCAGAUAAUAACGGAUGCUAAAGUGAAAUAAUCAGUAAGAUACCUUAGGUGCCGGUCGCCCUAACUUGAAGGCUUGCACCCGAUCACUACCACGGACGAAGCCUCCAUCCGCAAAGUUGAACAGCUCGUUCAACAGUUGUUGCACUUCUGACUUCUCCAAGACCUCAGGAAGCAUCCUGGUCGGGUCCACGCUUCCGGCAUACUCGUACGCCGAGUGCACCCUCUUCUGGCAGGGCAUCACCCGGCGACAAAUAAAGAUACCGACCACGCCUAGCCCGUCCAAGCGCGACCAGUCGAUCAGCUUCAUCAGGUCCGCCACUUGACCGUCGAACUCUGGGCGAUCGGUCCAGCUUACCCUCUUCUCGGGGAUGUACCCCACGUCGCAGAACGUGGAGCUGCCCGGUUCUUCCAUGAUAUAGAACCACUUCCGGUACCAUUCGGUUAGGGAAGUGUUCCAUGGACAGUGCAGAUAACGGUUCUUCAUCCCGUCGCGAAGGUUGAGGUAUACUCCACCUGCAACCUUGGAGCCUCCAACCGCUCCCUUCUUUCUUAAACAAAAAAGAUAGCGAAAGAGAUCGAAGUGCGGUUCUAUGCCAACAUAGGCCUCGCACAAAUGGAUAAAAGUGGAAAUAAGAAGGAUUGAGUUCAGAUGCAGAUUGCAAAUCCCGAUCUCGUAAUACAAAAGAAGACCUUGAAGAAAAGGAUGAACAGGAACCCCAAAACCCCUCUUAACGAAGUCCUCAAACACUACGAUCUCACCGGCAUGGGGAUCGGGGAAGCUCUCCCCCUCCGGCGCUCUCCAGCCGCCGAGCUCCGGGCUGUGCAAUAGCCCCAUAUCGACGAGGUCACCAAGAGACUUCGCGGUGCUGCGGGACUUCUUCCACUCGUUGGCCAUCAGCUCGGCCCUCUUCUUCGAGUCGCUCUUCGCCAUUGGAGGUGCGGGAGUGACUUUGAGCUAGGAAGGUGUAGGUGAUUGAAGGAGGCAAGAGCGGAAGGCUUGAAGGCAAUGGCAGGGUAAGCAGUGCAGGGGUAACCGUCGAGAUCUUAUAAACCACAACUUCACCCCUCCCACUUCCCGCAUUCUUGGGAAGUGGGCGGGCCAUACGGCAAACGCGCCGCUUCGGUUUUCAAUGAUUAUUGGCAAUUAAUGCGGCGGAGUUUUCGUACAAAUUGAUGGUUUUCUUUUCUCAAACCGCGCAAAAGGCGGCUGCACAGUUGCCAGGCGCACCUUUUCAUGCAGCCAUCUGACAUCCCGUCAGGAGGUCUCGUCACGUCAACAUUUAUGUGGUAAAAUUUUUCAAAACAAGCAUACAAAAAUGGUAGAGAAUCAACAAUCUGAGGACUGCACCGACCACUGAGCACUUGAUGCUCGGGGACUGGUCGCCCAGUCUAUCAACUCGGAACCUCAAGGACUACACCGACCACCGAGCACUUGAUGCUCGGGGACUGGUCGCCCAGUCUAUAAAAUCGGAAAUUCAAGGACUGCACCGACCACCGAGCACUUGAUGCUCGGGGACUGGUCGCCCAGUCUAUCACUCGGAACUUCAAGGAAUGCAACGACCAUCGAGCACUUGAUGCUCGCGGACUGGUCGUCAAAUUUGUUGGGACUGUACCGACCACCAAGCGCUUGAUGCUCGGGGACUGGUCGCCUAGUCUAUUAGUUCGGGAAUCAGCGGGCCGUAUCGAUCUCCGAGCAUUGUACACCUGGGGACUGGUUGAUCAGCUCGUCAAAUUGAUAAGUCUAUUCGAUGGUAAAUAAGCAUGAGAUGCUUGAGGACUGGAUAAUUUUAAUUUUUUAGACCUUGCUACAAGGCUCAUACUUCGCCUUCUAGCAAGCUCGGGGACUACAUCGGUACGAUGCAUCUGGCGAUGCAUCUCAGUUUCAAAACUACUUUGGGAAAUUUUCUUUUGACCCUGGCACCACGUGCCUACGUCACCUACUACCAGGCUCGGGGACUAAGUGGGCACACUUCACCUUGCAGUGAACUUGCAUGCUUUUUUGAGGACUGUACUUUUCAGAAAAGUAAAGUGGGCACACUUCACCGAAAAAGAAAUAUUUUUUCUCAAGAGCACCAUGCAUUCUUCAAACAAUUGACUUCUUCGAUGAUGAUUUUGAUCAAAUAUCUUUAGAUUUGGUCAAAAUACCGUUGCAAUCGCUUGGGCGAUUUUCAUGUUGAUUGAAGACGUCAAGCUUCACUGGUCGAAGAAGCUCAAGACAGCGUGUUACUCCACAAUACAUGGUGCUCGGGGACUAGCUGUGGGGGUAUAAACCCCUAUACCCUUACGGCCAGAUUUGUUCCACGAGGCUUGGCCCAUUACGAGACAAGCUCAAGGUUUGAUCCGACAGCUUGGAGUUUCGCGCAAGGAAACAAGACGUGGAGAUCAAGCAGGAUUCUAGUCGGUUAGAAUAGGAAUUGAUAUCGAACUAUCUAUGGCAAUUGUAACCGACUAGGAUUAGUUUCCAGAUCUGUAACCCUGCCCUCUAGACUAUAUAAGGAGAGGCAAGGGACCCCCCUAGGAUAUCAUAUUCUCUCAACACAAAUCAAUACAAUCAGACGCAGGACGUAGGUAUUACGCCAACUCGGCGGCCGAACCUGGAUAAAAAGCUUGUCUGUGUCUUGGGUCACCAUCGAGUUCGUAGUUUGCGCACAGUCUACCCAUAAACUACUACCGUGGGUAUACCCCAAGGUAGACUGCCGACCAGCUUUCGUCGACAAUAAUAAUAAAGGCAUAAAAGUAAAUAGAGAAGAUAAAUAUAUUAAAACAUAAGUCUUACAAUAAAUAUAAAAACAUACCAAAACUCUGAAGACUUCUCCAGAACCGAAGCGCAGCUCCACUCUCCCUAACUCCCGACUAGAACUAAUCUACUACAUUGGAAUUUCUAGCCCUAAUUCUCUAUAGAGGAAAGGUUAUCCUUCGAGGGCACAUCUCAACUCUAUAAUGAUGUGUUCUCCUCCAGGGGCCAGGGGCCUUGCUUAUAUAGCCUCCUCCUUUAUGCCUUUUUGGUUCAGCAGGCGAUGUGGUACUAAACUUUCCACCAUAUCUCAUUAAAAUGCACAUGGGCCUUAAUGGACCAAAAUCUGAUUUGGCCCAAUUAAUCCCACAGCUCUUUUAUGUGGAGUCCUUCUUUUAUUAAUAUCUCUUGAUUCCGAUCUCCAAAUAUAGCAAAUAAUAUAUGCUUUUCGAUCAGCUCGACGAGAUCUUUUUAAUGGUGUACUCCAUUCUGUGAUUGGUGCUUGUACCAGGGCGGGCGCCCUGGCCCCGGGCCCGUCUCGACUCCGCUUCGGUCGAGUUGCUUCUAGAGUCUUCCUGAUUAUGGAAAAUUACCGCACACAUUAAUUCUCUAUGUAAACCCGACGUGUGGGCCUUUCCUUCAUAUUUCCUGAUAACCCCGUGCAGAAAUAGACAAACACCAAAACUCGUGGAAAUCUGUCAGAUGAAACCCUAAGUCUAGGUGUCGGUUGCAUUUGGAUCCUUUUUCAUGAUUAGUUGACGGUUAAAUGUGAGCAUUAAGGACCGUCAACAAGCUCCCCCAAGCUUAACCUUUGCUCGUCCCUAAGCAAAGAUAGACUCAAGAGUUUCUGUAGUGGUUUCAUGCCUUAAAGGUACACAUGCGUUCAAACAAGAUCUCAUCUCUGGGUUAGGGUAAACUGUUAAGAUUUAAACUUACUCAUUUUACCUUCCACCAUGGGGCUUGCAACCGUCACUUAUGUCUUGAGCAGUUAAAAGAUAGAACGGUCUAGUCAAGCGCCAUGUCUCUUGUUCUUCGAUUAACUAUAGCUUUGGAGUUUUUACAGAUUUUCAAAUAAAACUCAGAGAUUCCUUGUAUGACUCUCAAAGUAUGUGGUAUUUUGGGUAUGAGGCAUAGUGGUAUUGCCUUCUUUCUCACCCUACUCUAAUAAGGUUUUGAUAUCUAGAGCUCAUAGGUGGGAGACAACUAAUACAUACUUACAAGACACUUAUUGCAUAGUCAAACCAUGGAUCCAGAAGAACAAGUCAAUAAGUCAAAUCAAGAUGUGCAUGUGUGGCGAAUGAAUGGUGAUAAUGGUGAAAAUAAUGGGUGAAAGUCUAAUUCUACUUUUUCUCUUUUGAGGGGGUACAUACCUUUCUUGCACUUGAGGCUUUUGAGGGGAAUGAGACGCUCUAUAUUUUAUUUUUCUUUUCUCUCAGGUGGGUAUCUUGUACCCCUAAUUCUAUUGUCGGACACUUAUCCAUUUUUACCUCUCGUCUCACUUUUUCUUUUGUUUCCUCGUAUUCACUUUUUUUUCAGAGCACUCACCCUCCUGGAAUAAUGUAGCAAGUGGUAGUAACCAAAAUAUCUCGAGCAUUUAUUUUACGGGAAAUAACAGGGAUAGGAUAAUGUUUUUGGCUAUUCUCUCCUAUAUAGGAGUAGAAUAAUUCUGGGUGAAUCUGGAUAUGGAAGUGAGUGGAUGUAUGUGGAUGCGUACUUCUGGAGUAGAAGCAGCAUGUAUGAGUGAACGUGCAAGUGAAUCUUGAUUUUAACCGCAUGACAAGCUCCUAAGGGUCUACACAGCUUGACCACACUCAAUGCUCAUAAGCAGUAAAAAGUAAAUAUAUGGUUCAUAGUCUAAUAAGCUUGUAUAUAUGGCUGUGGUAGGAUUUUAAACUCUCAUCAUAUAGGAACUCAUCAUGCAACAUUUUAAAGAUUUUCAAAGAUAAAAUUCUCUAGAAUUCUAGCAUCUCCAGGAAUAGAUAAACAACAACUCAACAUUCCCAUAUCGUAUCUGUUAACGACUUAGACUUUUGAUCAGGUACUCUUUUCGCAAAUUCAGGUUUAGAGCAAGCUUUAAAUUAUAACAGUUAUGCCUAAACUUGAGAGAGAGCUCAAAUUUGAAAACUAGGUACUUGGCAGAGCAACUAUUCAUCAUAUCCAUGUAAGAGUUUAUCAUUGAAGUUCAGUUUGGCAU